UUCCGGCGUCCUGACCCGCGUUCCGGCGUCCGAGGAGGCGCAGAAGAGUCGCGGCGUCCUGACCCGAGUCUGGACCACACAGGAGACCAUCGGUAUGCAGGAACUGACAUGUUGGAGUGACUGACCUUGUACUGACCACCGUGGAAGAGUUCUAUCUUACUCCUCCGUCACCAUUACUGGUCCACCUUUUCUCAGCUGUAAGACCAAGGUCCUGGACCAGGGGACGUGAUCCUCGAGCACACCUGCGACUGAACGUCUAAUCCGGCCCCGGAUGGCGGCGUCUGUGUGGAGCUCCGCUGAGCGAAGAGCGUGCCUCUCGACAGCCAGCAGGUGGCAGCAAAGCCCCGCUCCGAAGGGCCCCUUGGCGCGGGCUGCUCAGCUCUGGUCCUC
Long non-coding RNA from Condylura cristata (star-nosed mole), 390 nucleotides. RefSeq lists it as uncharacterized. Lineage: Eukaryota; Metazoa; Chordata; Mammalia; Eulipotyphla; Talpidae. The record is from RefSeq and is a predicted model, not a curated record. The transcript is spliced from 3 exons.